GGGCGCUUGGUCUAGGGGUAUGAUUUUCGCUUCGCAUAUUCCGUGCGUACUUGUGAAAGGUCGUGGGUUCAAUUCCCACAGCGUCCA
RNAcentral lists this transfer RNA (87 nucleotides) under Bipolaris sorokiniana. RNAcentral's name for it is "Cochliobolus sativus tRNA". It matches the Rfam family "tRNA". From Rfam's summary of the family: Transfer RNA (tRNA) molecules are approximately 80 nucleotides in length. Their secondary structure includes four short double-helical elements and three loops (D, anti-codon, and T loops). RNAcentral also lists the same sequence under 1 other name. Lineage: Eukaryota; Fungi; Ascomycota; Dothideomycetes; Pleosporales; Pleosporaceae. The record is from Rfam by way of RNAcentral.